GAUGAACGCUAGCGGCAGGCUUAAUACAUGCAAGUCGUGGGGCAGCAGGAGUAGCAAUACUUGCUGGCGACCGGCAAACGGGUGCGUAACACGUACGCAACUUUCUUUCAAGCGGGGAAUAGCCCGGGGAAACCCGGAUUAAUACCCUAUAUUAUAUUUGAAUGGCAUCAUUUAAAUAUUAAAGCUUCGGCACUUGAUGAUGGGCGUGCGGCUGAUUAGGUAGUUGGCGGAGUAAAGCCCACCAAGCCUACGAUCAGUAGCUGAUGUGAGAGCAUGAUCAGCCACACGGGCACUGAGACACGGGCCCGACUCCUACGGGAGGCAGCAGUAAGGAAUAUUGGUCAAUGGGCGAAAGCCUGAACCAGCCAUGCCGCGUGGAGGAUGAAGGUCCUCUGGAUUGUAAACUUUCUUUUAUUUGGGACGAAAAAGGAAUUCUUUCUCACUUGACGGUACCAGAUGAAUAAGCACCGGCUAACUCUGUGCCAG
This 486-nucleotide ribosomal RNA is filed under the name uncultured bacterium. Its description in RNAcentral is "bacterial SSU rRNA". It matches the Rfam family "Bacterial small subunit ribosomal RNA", at positions 28 to 511 of the family's 1533-position model. The record is from RNAcentral.